CGGUAACAGAACUAGCUUGCUAGUUGCUGACGAGUGGCGGACGGGUGAGUAACGCGUAGGAAUCUACCGAGUAGUGGGGGACAACAGUUGGAAACGACUGCUAAUACCGCAUAAUCCCUGAGGGGGAAAGGAGGGGAUCUGUUUACAGACCUUUCGCUAUUUGAUGAGCCUGCGUGAGAUUAGCUAGUUGGUGAGGUAAUGGCUCACCAAGGCGACGAUCUCUAGCUGGUCUGAGAGGAUGAUCAGCCACACUGGAACUGAGACACGGUCCAGACUCCUACGGGAGGCAGCAGUGGGGAAUAUUGCACAAUGGGGGAAACCCUGAUGCAGCCAUGCCGCGUGUGUGAAGAAGGCCUUCGGGUUGUAAAGCACUUUCAGCGAGGAGGAAAGGAGUAGGUUUAAUAAACCUGCUUUGUGACGUUACUCGCAGAAGAAGCAC
RNAcentral lists this ribosomal RNA (439 nucleotides) under uncultured Gammaproteobacteria bacterium. RNAcentral's name for it is "bacterial SSU rRNA". It matches the Rfam family "Bacterial small subunit ribosomal RNA", at positions 67 to 493 of the family's 1533-position model. The record is from RNAcentral. Lineage: Bacteria; Pseudomonadati; Pseudomonadota; Gammaproteobacteria.